AGUCAUGGUUACUAUUCUCUUUCAAUAGUGAUUGUGAUGAGCGAUACGGGCAUGUUGGCGCAUGCCCGUAUGGCGUU
Leclercia adecarboxylata is the source of this 77-nucleotide non-coding RNA. The record is from Rfam. Lineage: Bacteria; Pseudomonadati; Pseudomonadota; Gammaproteobacteria; Enterobacterales; Enterobacteriaceae.